CAUGCAGGCGGUUAAACAAGUAGGAUGUGAAAGCCCGGGGCUCAACCUCGGAAUUGCAUUCUAAACUGUGUAACUAGAGUAUUGCAGGGGGAGACGGAAUUCCAGGUGUAGCGGUGGAAUGCGUAGAGAUCUGGAAGAACACCAAAGGCGAAGGCAGUCUCCUGGGCAAAUACUGACGCUCAUAUGCGAAAGCGUGGGUAGCAAACA
Molecule: ribosomal RNA, 207 nt
Filed under: uncultured bacterium
Lineage: Bacteria
Description: partial 16S ribosomal RNA
Rfam family: Bacterial small subunit ribosomal RNA
Source: RNAcentral